UUUAAAUAUGAUGACAAUAUAUCGCCCCAGUCUGACCAUUUUAUGAGUGAUUGAUUUAUUCUGAUGAA
Melipona quadrifasciata is the source of this 68-nucleotide small nucleolar RNA. NCBI's taxonomy places the organism in Eukaryota, Metazoa, Arthropoda, Insecta, Hymenoptera, Apidae. The record is from Rfam.